UACGUAGGUGGCAAGCGUUGUCCGGAUUUACUGGGCGUAAAGAGCGCGCAGGCGGUCGUUCAAGUCGCGUGUGAAAGCCCCCGGCUCAACUGGGGAGGGUCACGCGAUACUGAUCGACUCGAAGGCAGGAGAGGGUAGUGGAAUUCCCGGUGUAGUGGUGAAAUGCGUAGAUAUCUGGAGGAAUACCGGUGGCGAAGGCGGCAUCCUGGACCAUUACUGACGCUGAGGCGCGAAAGCUAGGGGAGCAAACGGG
RNAcentral lists this ribosomal RNA (253 nucleotides) under uncultured bacterium. Its description in RNAcentral is "partial 16S ribosomal RNA". It matches the Rfam family "Bacterial small subunit ribosomal RNA", at positions 524 to 776 of the family's 1533-position model. The record is from RNAcentral.